This 253-nucleotide ribosomal RNA is filed under the name uncultured bacterium. RNAcentral's name for it is "partial 16S ribosomal RNA". It matches the Rfam family "Bacterial small subunit ribosomal RNA", at positions 524 to 776 of the family's 1533-position model. The record is from RNAcentral.
UACGUAGGGGGCAAGCGUUGUCCGGAAUCAUUGGGCGUAAAGAGCGCGUAGGCGGCCCUGUAAGUCCGCUGUGAAAGUCAAGGGCUCAACCCUUGGAUGCCGGUGGAUACUGCAGGGCUAGAGUCCGGAAGAGGCGAGUGGAAUUCCUGGUGUAGCGGUGAAAUGCGCAGAUAUCAGGAGGAACACCGAUGGCGAAGGCAGCUCGCUGGACCGACACUGACGCUGAGGCGCGAAAGCGUGGGGAGCAAACAGG